UAGAGUGACUGAGCAUCUCCUUCUUCUCUCUCCAAGACCGUCUGGCUGAAGACACACUUAAGAGCACGAACAUCCCACAUGAAAGAACAACCAUUCACUAAAGAAGAGGGAGAAAAAGCAGCACAAAAGCAUUCACUUGGAGAGAAAAAGAAAGGAUAAAAAAGAAGGGAGGAGAAUCAAAAUCAACAGUGGUGAAGGUAAUUGUACAGUUUUUUUUUCUCUUUUUCUUUGAAUUUCAAACUGAAAAGGCAGAGAGGGAGGAGAGAUACAUCUUUCCAAAUCUACAUGUGAUAGGUGAGAGCUGUGCUUUUCUAUGCAGACCUGGAAGGUGUUUGAGUACAAUUCUCAAAAAACCAAGAGAAAGCGCAUGAAUCUGUACAGCUGUGCACAGCCCCACCCUCUCCAGCACCGGGGGCAGAGCCGUGCCACCAAAAAGUGAUUCGAUCAAAAAAAAAAGAACAUUUUUAAAAAUCAAUACAUAUACUGUAAUUCAGGCUAAGUAAAGACAUUGCAAUGCAGGGCGAACAGGCAAAAAGAAUCGGUACAGUUCAUCAACAUCAACAUGGGUAAGUCAGUAAGAACGUUUCAAGAGUGGAUCACAGGAACCCUUGCAAAAUUCUUUUUUUUUAAAAAAAGGGGGAGAGAGGGAAAAAAAGUUCUGUAGCUACAAAGCACAAGAAAUAUACCUUUAAUAAUGUUACAGAAUAAUCAUUGAUAUUGGUGUUAUCAUCUUCAUCGUCGUUAUCGUCUGAUAUUAUUGUCAUCCUUUUUUUUCUUUUUUUUCAAUUAUCUCUACUCGUAAAGAUUCUAGAAUUGGAGGAUCUACAGCUUUCUACAAAGACUGACAGCCCAAUGACCUUCAUCUGCAAGCCUCCAUAUCAUUUCCCUGAGCCCAACAUCUACCCGCCCACCCCGUAACCCCGCCCACAUGAUGCCCAUUCUUUUUUGCUGUGUCUGUCUUUUCCGUUUUCUUUUUUCCUCUUUUUUUGUUCUUUUUAUUUUGUGUUUUAUUCUUUCUUUUCGCACCAUUAGCUAUGUGAAGCAAGUAGCUGUUUCUUUAUACAAAGGCUGAGGGGGUCAUGCUAUCAGUGACGGGGACUCCAUUACCCAGCCAACUAAAACAGAAACCUGGGGAAAAGAAGGGAUGAAGAGGGAAGGGUGACAACGGACGAGAGGUAGAAGAAUGGACGAAGUGGAGUAAGUACAAAGGAAGUGCGUGGGACAGAUGAUCAAUAAAUAAAUUAAUAAAUUAAUCAACAACAAUACAAAAGUAAUAGUUCCUCACAAGACAAAUGUUAAUAAGUUCUCAUAACAGUGACCUAGUGUUUCUAGUACUGUUCCCAGACACGUCAAUCUCAGAAGGUUGGCACUGAUAUGACACUUGCAAUCAUAGUACUGGUUCGACAGACCUGGGGUCACAUGCCAAGCGGCCCAGGCCCUUCCCCAGAGAGCUGAGCUACGGAAGUGACGGGGAUGGGUAGAAACGAAACGUAAGAAAAGCCUGGGUUAUUCCAUUCUUUAUGAUAUGGAACGGUACUACAGUGAUUAAAAAUCCGAAACAAGGACACGCCACAACUGACUUGAACUAUAGUGCUCCAGACUAGCAUAACCGUGGAUUUAGCUAUCGUCACAUUAUCGUCAAAGUAAAAUUCGUAUAGCCAGGCAAACAUGUACAGGUCAUCCCCCUGACUGAUAUUUGUGUAAUAAAUAUACAUACAAUGACAUAAAACAUAAAAAAAAAAAAUGAGGGUUGUUUAGUUUCAAUGAUAAAGACACAGUGGAAAACAGGGGAGAACAAAACAUACAACAGCAAAGAAAAACAAAAACAACACAAAAAAAGGUCCCAACUUUGUUCUAAAACCAUAAAGGCUGGGUUUCUAUAAGAAAUCAGUUCUGUUGGCAGCUCUUUGAAAGACAAACUAAAAACAUUUCAUAUAUAUAUAAUAUAUUUAUAUAUUUGUAUAUGCCUAUUUUAAAAUUAUCAUUAUCAUUAUUUACCAACUUGCAUUUUCAAUAAUAAUCAUUUCCAAAGAAGUGGCUCGAGAGGGAGGGGGCGGGCCUCAGUACAAGCCGCAGCCUCGCAGGUUGUUGGCGAUGAUGAUGUCGGUCACAGCAUCGAACACCACCUGGAUGUUUCCUGUAUCCGUGGCACAGGUCAAGUGACAGUAGAUCUCCUUAUUAGGUGAGCGGUUCUUGCUUUCAAAUUGUGCUUGGAUGUAAGCAGCUGCAUCGUCGUAGGUGUUUGGACCUACGGGGGGAUACAGAGAUCAAAUGAGUAUGUGAAAGAAAGGUUCUGAUAUUAUGCCAAAAUUAAAAAUGGCAUAAAAGUGGUACGGCUUUGUGCUUGUCCCUCAAAAUGCUCAUUAACCCAAUAUUUAAAAUGGCCUUGGUGACUUCUGACAUUCACAAAUGUCCCUUCUCUUCUGUUCUCUAAAAGCCAAGCAUUCUUUAACUUGGCUCCUUAUGAAGUAAGUGUCCCGUUGAGAUGCUGCUGUAUCCUGGUUAUGUAUGAGACCAUUUACAAUCACACUUAAAAUGUCAUUGCAUUAGAAAGAAAAUUUGCUUUCAUGUAAUACUAGACAAUGCUUUUCUCAAAUGUCCUAGUAGAGUAACAACAGAUGGACUUUAUCUUAUUAAUUAUGGACACAAACAACACUGAACAAUAUAUCGAGAUGUUGAGAUAUUGCAUUUAUCAACUUAUAAUUACAUUUAAUAAUUCACUUACUAGUUC
Long non-coding RNA from Cyprinus carpio carpio, 2731 nucleotides. NCBI's taxonomy places the organism in Eukaryota, Metazoa, Chordata, Actinopteri, Cypriniformes, Cyprinidae. The record is from Ensembl.